CACACCCGUUCCCAUACCGAACACGGAAGUUAAGCUCUCUAGCGCCGAUGGUAGUUGGGACCUUGUCCCUGUGAGAGUAGGACGUUGCC
RNAcentral lists this ribosomal RNA (89 nucleotides) under Bacillus cereus. Lineage: Bacteria; Bacillati; Bacillota; Bacilli; Caryophanales; Bacillaceae. RNAcentral also lists the same sequence under 1 other name. The record is from RNAcentral.